UACGGGGGAUGCAAGCGUUAUCCGGAAUCAUUGGGCGUAAAGCGCCUGUAGGGUGUUUAAUAAGUCUGUUGUUAAAGACUAGGGCUUAACCCUAGGAAAGCAAUGGAAACUACUAGACUUGAGUAUGGUAGGGGUAGAGGGAAUUUCUAGUGUAGCGGUGAAAUGCGUAGAUAUUAGGAAGAACACCGGUGGCGAAGGCGCUCUACUGGAUCAUUACUGACACUCAGAGACGAAAGCUAGGGUAGCAAAUGGGAUUAGAUACCCCAGUAGUCCUAGCCGUAAACGAUGGAUACUAAACAUUGCGUGCUCGCCGUGGUGUUAUAGCUAACGCGUUAAGUAUCCCGCCUGGGGAGUAUGCUCGCAAGGGUG
RNAcentral lists this ribosomal RNA (369 nucleotides) under uncultured phototrophic eukaryote. RNAcentral describes it as "SSU rRNA". It matches the Rfam family "Bacterial small subunit ribosomal RNA", at positions 524 to 896 of the family's 1533-position model. The record is from RNAcentral.